CAAAAUUUCACGCGUCAAGUUUCAAAGCAAAACAGAUUCCCGUUUUUUUUCCAAAAUGUAAUGAAUAAUCAUUAGAAUAAUAUGCGGCAUUAACUUACGGCUAUGUGUCGGCAUAAAACGAUAGUAACGGACAUCGGCGCUAUUUCAGCAUGCGCUGUGUAUCGCGUUUUAUUCAUUUACACAUGCAUCGUGUUAGUGCACUCAAUCCUUUAUUGGGGAAAACGUUUCUUGCGUCGACGCUUACAAAUUCACGAAUAAUGGUAAAAAAGCGCACUAUUCCUGGAGCGGAAUUAACCAAGCAGAUAGUAUUAGACGCCGCAUGGCUCGCAUUUAUUUAUAUGCUGCUACUGACACUGUUUGAGCUUAUCGAGCUGCUGCGCCCCAAGCCUUCUCGGUUUUUUUAAUAAAAAAAGCAAGAUUUGAUUCACAUAUUAAGAGGAAAGCAGAAGGCCUGGCAUGAGGCUUAAAAGGUAGAGAAAGAUCGGCAUAACAGUUGUUACCACAUUGCUGAAGAACAGUUUUCAACCAUUAAAAGAAGAGGUCGUUUUUGAGUGUCGCAUGAGGUCACUGAAAGGAAGAAAUGAACCUUAUCAACUGGAUACUUAUUUGAAUUUUAACGAUUUGGCAGAUAGUAUAUACUGUAUUUAAAUUAAACUAAAAAAUAUUG
Molecule: long non-coding RNA, 667 nt
Organism: Pieris napi
Lineage: Eukaryota; Metazoa; Arthropoda; Insecta; Lepidoptera; Pieridae
Exons: 2
Source: RefSeq, a predicted model, not a curated record